AUCCAGCUGAUGAGUCUGAAAUAGGACGAAACGCGAUUCAAACUGGAU
Molecule: non-coding RNA, 48 nt
Organism: Schistosoma curassoni
Lineage: Eukaryota; Metazoa; Platyhelminthes; Trematoda; Strigeidida; Schistosomatidae
Source: Rfam